GAUGAAGAACGUAGUGAAAUGCGAUAAGUAGUGUGAAUUGCAGAAUUCCGUGAAUCAUCGAAUCUUUGAACGCACAUUGCGCCUUCUGGUAUUCCGGAAGGCAUGCCUGUUCAAGAGUCAUUAACAACCGUUUCGAUCCCUUUCUUUCAGAAAUUACAAAGAGGAAAAGGGUUUGGUUAUGGUGGAGGAGGGAAAGGGAGCGUUUAGCCUGUAAAAAAAGAGGCUGUGUUCCGCCUCCCCCCCAAAAUUGUACAGGCGGUCGUGUGCGCCCACGCAUCGAGGUGUUGUAAAAGCUGCCACGGCACUUUUCACCUGUGCAGUGCGAGAUUGGCCAGCCGGUUUAAAAACCCCUCCAAACAAUCAAAGGUUGACCUCGGAUCAGGUAGGGAUACCCGCUGAACUUAAGCAUAUCAAUAAGCGGAGGA
This 425-nucleotide unclassified non-coding RNA is filed under the name soil metagenome. RNAcentral's name for it is "partial contains 5.8S ribosomal RNA, internal transcribed spacer 2, and large subunit ribosomal RNA". The stretch from base 1 to 120 matches the Rfam family "5.8S ribosomal RNA", at positions 35 to 154 of the family's 154-position model. The record is from RNAcentral.